This 145-nucleotide unclassified non-coding RNA is filed under the name soil metagenome. Its description in RNAcentral is "partial internal transcribed spacer 1". The record is from RNAcentral.
UAAUAAGUGUUUUAUGGCACUUCUUAAAUCCAUAUCCACCUUGUGUGCAAUGUCAGUCGAUCUUCUUCAUGGAGAUCGACCAAACAUCAACCUUUAUCUUUUAACUCUUUGUCUGAAAAAUAUUAUGAAUAAACAAUUCAAAAUA